UGAUUAACCUAUAAAUACGGUGUCUAGUAAGACUUAAUAGGGAAUCUGGUGCAAUUCCAGAGCUGUUCCCGCAACUGUAAGUGCUGACGAAAUAAGUGAUCCACUGUCCAUUAGGAUGGGAAGGACUUAAAGUAGGUGCAAAGCACGAGUCAGGAGACCUGCCAUAUUUAUAACGUGUUA
This 180-nucleotide non-coding RNA is filed under the name Bacillus sp. (in: firmicutes). Lineage: Bacteria; Bacillati; Bacillota; Bacilli; Caryophanales; Bacillaceae. The record is from RNAcentral. RNAcentral also lists the same sequence under 1 other name.